Molecule: non-coding RNA, 84 nt
Organism: Arvicanthis niloticus (Nile rat)
Lineage: Eukaryota; Metazoa; Chordata; Mammalia; Rodentia; Muridae
Source: the annotation of a RefSeq genome assembly
GUAGUUGUGGCCAAGUGGUUAAGGUGUUGGACUAGAAAUCCAUUGGGUGUUUCCCUGGUGCAGGUUCAAGUCCUGCCGACUGUG